GAACGCACCUUGCGCUCCUUGGUAUUCCGAGGAGCAUGCCUGUUUGAGUGUCAUUAAUAUAUCAACCUUCUCUUUUUUGAGUUGUUUGGAUGUGGGGGUUUGCUGGCCUCUUAAAUGAUUCAGCUCCCCUGAAAUGCAUUAGCAGAACAACCUGUUCAUUGGCGUGAUAAUUAUCUAUGCUAUUGAAUGUGAGGGCAGUUCAGCUUUCUAACCGUCCUUGGACAAUUCAUCAUUAAUGUGACCUCAAAUCAGGUAGGACUACCCGCUGAACUUA
Molecule: unclassified non-coding RNA, 274 nt
Filed under: Cortinarius decipiens
Lineage: Eukaryota; Fungi; Basidiomycota; Agaricomycetes; Agaricales; Cortinariaceae
Description: sequence contains 5.8S rRNA gene
Rfam family: 5.8S ribosomal RNA (bases 1-53)
Source: RNAcentral